GCUGGGCAUGGUGGUGGGCGCCUGUAAUCCCAGCUACUUAGGAGGCUGAGGCAGGAGAAUUGCUUGAACCCGGGAGAUGGAGGUUGCAGUGAGCCGAGAUCACACCACUGCACUCCAGCCUGGGUGACAGAGCAAGACUCUGUCUCAA
This 148-nucleotide non-coding RNA is filed under the name Nomascus leucogenys (northern white-cheeked gibbon). Lineage: Eukaryota; Metazoa; Chordata; Mammalia; Primates; Hylobatidae. The record is from Rfam by way of RNAcentral.